GAUGAACGCUGGCGGCGUGCUUAACACAUGCAAGUCGAACGGUGAACACGGAGCUUGCUCUGUGGGAUCAGUGGCGAACGGGUGAGUAACACGUGAGCAACCUGCCCCUGACUCUGGGAUAAGCGCUGGAAACGGCGUCUAAUACUGGAUAUGUGACGUGACCGCAUGGUCUGCGUUUGGAAAGAUUUUUCGGUUGGGGAUGGGCUCGCGGCCUAUCAGCUUGUUGGUGAGGUAAUGGCUCACCAAGGCGUCGACGGGUAGCCGGCCUGAGAGGGUGACCGGCCACACUGGGACUGAGACACGGCCCAGACUCCUACGGGAGGCAGCAGUGGGGAAUAUUGCACAAUGGGCGCAAGCCUGAUGCAGCAACGCCGCGUGAGGGAUGACGGCCUUCGGGUUGUAAACCUCUUUUAGCAGGGAAGAAGCGAAAGUGACGGUACCUGCAGAAUAAGCGCCGGCUAACUACGUG
This 469-nucleotide ribosomal RNA is filed under the name uncultured bacterium. RNAcentral describes it as "partial 16S ribosomal RNA". It matches the Rfam family "Bacterial small subunit ribosomal RNA", at positions 28 to 507 of the family's 1533-position model. The record is from RNAcentral.